AUGGAAGACAAAGAAUCAGCGCAAAGAAAAGGGACGCUUAUUCGGCAUGUAUGCAUUGGCAAAGAUGCAUGCUGCUUAGGUCGAGAACAUGGGACUGACAGAUGCAUCCAAGCAACCAUCAUUGGUGUCAAUACCCACCAGGUGGAACUUCGCUUGGUCUUCCUCGCUGCUGAUGGUAACUCCAUCCCUGAAGCACAUAAUAUGUAUGGAUCAUACGUACAAAUGAGAAAACUAGUACUGCUUCCUUUCACGAAUUGUUUUCUUGCAAGGCACUUACGAUGUUGGAAGAAGUUUUGCUUUGGACAUGCAAAACGAGGCAUUGUCAUUCUGGAUUCCAAAGCCUCUGCAAAUGUGAUCUUUUGA
RNAcentral lists this ribosomal RNA (363 nucleotides) under Triticum aestivum (bread wheat). RNAcentral describes it as "partial small subunit ribosomal RNA". The record is from RNAcentral. Lineage: Eukaryota; Viridiplantae; Streptophyta; Magnoliopsida; Poales; Poaceae.